AUUGAACGCUGGCGGCAGGCUUAACACAUGCGAGUCGAGCGGGGUGAUGGUGCUUGCACUAUCACUUAGCGGCGGACGGGUGAGUAAUGCUUAGGAAUCUGCCUAUUAGUGGGGGACAACAUCUCGAAAGGGAUGCUAAUACCGCAUACGUCCUACGGGAGAAAGCAGGGGAUCACUUGUGACCUUGCGCUAAUAGAUGAGCCUAAGUCGGAUUAGCUAGUUGGUGGGGUAAAGGCCUACCAAGGCGACGAUCUGUAGCGGGUCUGAGAGGAUGAUCCGCCACACGGGGACACAGACACGGCCCAGACUCCUACGGGAGGCAGCAGUGGGGAAUAUUGGACAAUGGGGGGAACCCUGAUCUAGCCAUGCCGCGUGUGUGAAGAAGGCCUUAUGGUUGUAAAGCACUUUAAGCGAGGAGGAGGCUCUUUUGGUUAAUACCCAAGAUGAGUGGACGUUACUCGCAGAAUAAGCACCGGCUAACUCUGUGCCAGCCGCCGCGGUAA
This 503-nucleotide ribosomal RNA is filed under the name uncultured bacterium. RNAcentral describes it as "partial 16S ribosomal RNA". It matches the Rfam family "Bacterial small subunit ribosomal RNA", at positions 30 to 523 of the family's 1533-position model. The record is from RNAcentral.